AUCUUCAGGGCGAGGUGAAAGUCCUCACUGGCGGUAACGCAAAGGUAAAACGUAUAUGUAAGGCGACUAUCAAUGCGAAGCCCGCGACCCCGAUUGUUUUUUUGAUUGUUGCAGUGCUUGCUAGUGAUGCAAAUAAAAGAUUGGCAAUUGGGCUGAUUCGGUGAAAAUCCGAGGCCAACGGUUACAGUCCGGAUGGAAGAAGAUG
RNAcentral lists this non-coding RNA (205 nucleotides) under human gut metagenome. RNAcentral describes it as "FMN riboswitch (RFN element)". It matches the Rfam family "FMN riboswitch aptamer (RFN element)". From Rfam's summary of the family: The RFN element is a highly conserved domain that is found frequently in the 5'-untranslated regions of prokaryotic mRNAs that encode for flavin mononucleotide (FMN) biosynthesis and transport proteins. This element is a metabolite-dependent riboswitch that directly binds FMN in the absence of proteins. The record is from RNAcentral.